This is a non-coding RNA of Schistosoma rodhaini, 46 nucleotides long. Lineage: Eukaryota; Metazoa; Platyhelminthes; Trematoda; Strigeidida; Schistosomatidae. The record is from Rfam.
GUACUGCAGAGGAGUACCACAGUAGAACGAAACGGCCGUCCAGUAC